This 579-nucleotide ribosomal RNA is filed under the name uncultured Lachnospiraceae bacterium. RNAcentral describes it as "bacterial SSU rRNA". It matches the Rfam family "Bacterial small subunit ribosomal RNA", at positions 156 to 750 of the family's 1533-position model. The record is from RNAcentral. Lineage: Bacteria; Bacillati; Bacillota; Clostridia; Lachnospirales; Lachnospiraceae.
ACGGCUGCUAAUACCGCAUAAGCGCACAGUACCGCAUGGUACGGUGUGAAAACUCCGGUGGUAUGAGAUGGACCCGCGUCUGAUUAGGUAGUUGCUGGGGUUACGGCCUACCAAGCCGACGAUCAGUAGCCGACCUGAGAGGGUGACCGGGCACAUGGGGACUGAGACACGGUCCAAACUCCUACGGGAGGCAGCAGUGGGGAAUAUUGCACAAUGGGGGAAACCCUGAUGCAGCGACGCCGCGUGAGCGAUGAAGUAUUUCGGUAUCGUAAAGCUCUAUCAGCAGGGACGACCAAUGAGCGGUACCUGACUAAGAAGCCCCGGCUAACUACCGUGCCAAGCAGCCGCGGUAAUACGUAGGGGGCAAGCGUUAUCCGGAUUUACUGGGUGUAAAGGGAGCGUAGACGGCAUCGCAAGCCAGAUGUGAAAGCCCGGGGCUCAACCCCGGGACUGCAUUUGGAACUGUCAGGCUAGAGUGUCGGAGAGGAAAGCGGAAUUCCUAGUGUAGCGGUGAAAUGCGUAGAUAUUAGGAGGACACCAGUGGCGAAGGCGGCUUUCUGGACGGUGACUGACGUUGAG